GGAACCUGCGGAAGGAUCAUU
RNAcentral lists this ribosomal RNA (21 nucleotides) under Cetraria islandica. Its description in RNAcentral is "partial 18S ribosomal RNA". Lineage: Eukaryota; Fungi; Ascomycota; Lecanoromycetes; Lecanorales; Parmeliaceae. The record is from RNAcentral.